Caerostris extrusa is the source of this 82-nucleotide non-coding RNA. The record is from the annotation of a GenBank genome assembly. NCBI's taxonomy places the organism in Eukaryota, Metazoa, Arthropoda, Arachnida, Araneae, Araneidae.
CGUUAGAUCACCGAAGUCAAGCAUCAUUGGGCGCGGUCAGUACUUGGGUGGGUGUGACCACCUGGGAGCACCGCGUGCCGUU